This 35-nucleotide ribosomal RNA is filed under the name Meyerozyma caribbica. RNAcentral describes it as "partial 28S ribosomal RNA". The record is from RNAcentral. Lineage: Eukaryota; Fungi; Ascomycota; Pichiomycetes; Serinales; Debaryomycetaceae.
CCUCAAAUCAGGUAGGAAUACCCGCUGAACUUAAG